This is a long non-coding RNA of Prunus persica (peach), 416 nucleotides long. RefSeq lists it as uncharacterized. The record is from RefSeq and is a predicted model, not a curated record. The transcript has 2 exons. Lineage: Eukaryota; Viridiplantae; Streptophyta; Magnoliopsida; Rosales; Rosaceae.
AAAAAAAAACCAACACUUGUGAAGCAAAAGGAAGGGCCCCCGACACUUGUACAAAAAGAUUUGACUCCAACUGAAGAACUCACUCUCAAUUGGAUUAUGCAAAAUCCAUUGCAGUUUCCAUUUGAGGAUGACAUGGAAUGUGCUCAACAAAGUGCAUCUUCAUUGGAUUGCGGCAUGUUCGUCAUGUUCUAUAUGGAUAAAAUAGCACAAGGACAGCCCAUUCCAAAAAGCGUGGACAAGAAAUUCAUGAAUGAAUAUCGAGCACAAUAUGUCACAAAACUCCCACACCACAAAAACUGUGUAAUUAAUCGUCUCUAGUGAUUUGCCUUUCGUUAACUCAAGACAAUAUGUAUCUUAAUUCUUGUGGAUGUUUGUAAAUAUUUCUAGUUAUGGUAUAUGAGAACAUAUUUCCUAUA